GGAUAUGGGGUCAGUCCAACUGUGACAUCUGUCAUCCUAUUGAUUACCAGGGUUUACUCAAGUGGCCUGGCUUGCUGGGCAGGUGCCUCAUUUUCCGUCACUACUCCAUAUGCAUUUCUCUUAGAACUGUGUACUUGGUCGAAGAGAAUGACUUUCUCUGAAUAUAGGAGGACCAUUCAUUGGUUAGCAGUAUAAGAGUAGCUGCAUCAACCUUCUAGAACAUCCAAACAAGCUUACAAAUGCAUUUCUGUCAAUUAUAUACGUAGUAAUGCAAUUGCUUGAUUGUAGGAUAGGCAUAUGUGCAACUUUAGCAGAUAUUGCC
This 322-nucleotide small nuclear RNA is filed under the name Jaculus jaculus (lesser Egyptian jerboa). RNAcentral's name for it is "7SK RNA (ENSJJAG00000004896.1)". It matches the Rfam family "7SK RNA". Rfam says of the family: 7SK was discovered as an abundant small nuclear RNA in the mid-70s but a possible function has only recently been suggested. Two independent studies have found that 7SK RNA binds the CDK9/cyclin T complex (known as elongation factor P-TEFb). The record is from RNAcentral. Lineage: Eukaryota; Metazoa; Chordata; Mammalia; Rodentia; Dipodidae.